This is a long non-coding RNA of Solanum stenotomum, 507 nucleotides long. RefSeq lists it as uncharacterized. The transcript has 3 exons. Lineage: Eukaryota; Viridiplantae; Streptophyta; Magnoliopsida; Solanales; Solanaceae. The record is from RefSeq and is a predicted model, not a curated record.
AGUUACAAAGACUCGAAAAAAACCUCAUCAGAAAAGCUUGGUUCAUUAUCAGUUCCUUCCAAGCCUCUCCAAGUGUACCAUAGAAGACGUAACAAGUGUGAAAAAGUUGAGCCAUUCAUUGAAGGGCAUAACAAGCCUGUCCAGGCAAAUGUUUUUACUACAAAUGUUGUUCCACUGUCAUUUUUUCUGUUUCUAAUCUUAACUAUGCUACUAACUAUACGUUGUAGGUGUACAAUCGACGAUUUAAGAAGAAUCAGAUAUAUAACAACUGCAAAACAGUUUUACCAGCCUUUCAGGAAUGGCAGAACAUGAAGCGGAAAACAUCAAAAGUUUCUACUACCGAAGGUCUAAAGGAUAGUCCAGGGAAGGCUGCCAGCCUUUGCAUUCACAAGAAACCAAGGCUUCAAGAAUCUAGCAGUAAAAAUGGACUCAUAGUGAAACAUAAAAAGAAUUCUCAAAUCCAUCACAAGAAGAAAGAUGCACAAGUUUUAACCGAUGAAACACCUA